CGAGGAUUCCCAUAGUAACGGCGAGUGAAAUGGGAAAAGCCCAGCGCUGAAUCCAUCGAUCACUGGUCGCUUGGAAUUGUAGCGUAUAGGUGCGGCUGUCCGCUCGUUUCGUGCACCCAAAGUCCCCUUGAGCGGGGCCAUAGUCCAAAGAAGGUGCUAGACCUGUACGGGUGGCGAGACGGUCGGUUGGUCGCUCCUUGGAGUCGGGUUGCCUGGGAUCGCAGCCCAAAGUUGGUGGUAGACCUCAUCUAAGGCUAAAUAUGGCCACGAAACCGAUAGCAAACAAGUACCGUGUGGGAAAGUUGCAAAGAACUUUGAAGAGAGAGUUCAAGAGGGCGUGAAACCGCCGAGAUUGAAACGGAUAGAGUUGACGAAACUCGAUCGCAUUCAUCCGAUCCGCCUAGCGGUUCGGCGGUUGUUGACUUCCUCGAUGAGGGCAACGCCGUCGCUGGCUGUUGGGUGUUAGAUGGGUGUAUUUGCGGUCGGUAUGCGCCGAGAGCUUUGCGAACGCAUGUUGGCGUUGAUGUAGUGGACCACUCCCUCCGGGCGUGGAACCCUGCACUGACUGAGGCAUGUCGUUUGUAGGGUGUUGCUGGUUGACGUCUCCGCUAUGGUGCGUCGGCUUUGUCGGACUGUUGUGGCUACUGGGUGAUCGCAUGCGAGCGCCUGUGGUUUAUGAUCGUACGAUGAGGUGCAGAUGCGCUUGAGACGUGCAUCUCGGUGUGAACGUUGACCACCUAUCCGA
Molecule: ribosomal RNA, 745 nt
Filed under: Anisakis sp. pAsi56028-3
Lineage: Eukaryota; Metazoa; Nematoda; Chromadorea; Rhabditida; Anisakidae
Description: eukaryotic LSU rRNA
Rfam family: Eukaryotic large subunit ribosomal RNA (bases 1-559)
Source: RNAcentral